Molecule: ribosomal RNA, 470 nt
Filed under: uncultured Chlorobiales bacterium
Lineage: Bacteria; Pseudomonadati; Chlorobiota; Chlorobiia; Chlorobiales
Description: bacterial SSU rRNA
Rfam family: Bacterial small subunit ribosomal RNA
Source: RNAcentral
GACGGGGGCCCGCACAAGCAGUGGAGCAUGUGGUUUAAUUCGAUGCAACGCGAAGAACCUUACCUAGGCUUGAAAAGCAAGCGACCGAGUGUGAAAGCACUCUUCCAGCAAUGGCGCUUGUACAGGUGCUGCAUGGCUGUCGUCAGCUCGUGCCGUGAGGUGUUGGGUUAAGUCUCGCAACGAGCGCAACCCCUACCAUUAGUUGCCAUCAGGUUAUGCUGGGCACUUUAAUGGGACUGCCUACGCAAGUAGUGAGGAAGGUGGGGAUGACGUCAAGUCAGCAUGGCCCUUACGUCUAGGGCUACACACGUGCUACAAUGGGUGCUACAAUGGGUUGCCAAGCCGCGAGGUGGAGCCAAUCCCAUAAAGGCAUCCUCAGUUCGGAUUGCAGUCUGAAACUCGACUGCAUGAAGCUGGAAUUGCUAGUAAUCGCGUAUCAGCACGACGCGGUGAAUACGUUCCCGGGCCUU